Molecule: ribosomal RNA, 408 nt
Filed under: Actinomycetota bacterium
Lineage: Bacteria; Bacillati; Actinomycetota
Description: bacterial SSU rRNA
Rfam family: Bacterial small subunit ribosomal RNA
Source: RNAcentral
UCGAUGGAGAGUUUGAUCCUGGCUCAGGACGAACGCUGGCGGCGUGCUUAACACAUGCAAGUCGAGCGGGGCCCAACCGGUGGCAACACCGGGGAAGGCCUAGCGGCGAACGGGUGAGUAACACGUGAGCAACCUGCCCCGAAGUUCGGGAUAACACCGGGAAACCGGUGCUAAUACCGGAUGCCCUCACCGGGCCACAUGACCUGGUGAGGAAAGAAUUUCGCUUCGGGAGGGGCUCGCGGCCUAUCAGCUAGUUGGCGGGGUAACGGCCCACCAAGGCGUCGACGGGUAGCUGGUCUGAGAGGACGACCAGCCACACUGGGACUGAGACACGGCCCAGACUCCUACGGGAGGCAGCAGUGGGGAAUCUUGCGCAAUGGGCGAAAGCCUGACGCAGCAACGCCGCGU